This 72-nucleotide transfer RNA is filed under the name Ornithorhynchus anatinus (platypus). It matches the Rfam family "tRNA". From Rfam's summary of the family: Transfer RNA (tRNA) molecules are approximately 80 nucleotides in length. The record is from Rfam by way of RNAcentral. Lineage: Eukaryota; Metazoa; Chordata; Mammalia; Monotremata; Ornithorhynchidae.
AGCAGAGUAGCUUAGUGGAAAGAGCAUGGCCCUGUGAGAAAGAGGACCUGGGUUCUAAUCCUGGUUCUGCCA